GAUGAACGCUGGCGGCGUGCCUAAUACAUGCAAGUCGAGCGAACAGAUGAGGAGCUUGCUCCUCUGACGUUAGCGGCGGACGGGUGAGUAACACGUGGAUAACCUACCUAUAAGACUGGGAUAACUUCGGGAAACCGGAGCUAAGACCGGAUAAUAUAUUGAACCGCAUGGUUCAAUAGUGAAAGACGGUUUUGCUGUCACUUAUAGAUGGAUCCGCGCCGCAUUAGCUAGUUGGUAAGGUAACGGCUUACCAAGGCAACGAUGCGAAGCCGACCUGAGCGGGUGAUCGGACACACUGGAACUGAGACACGGUCCAGACUCCUACGGGAGGCAGCAGUAGGGAAUCUUCCGCGAUGGGCGAAAGCCUGACGGAGCACCGCCGCGUGAGGGAUGAAGGUCUUCGGAUCGUAAAACUCUGUUAUUCGGGAAGAACAAAUGUGUAAGUAACUAUGCACGUCUUGACGGUACCUAAUCAGAAAGCCACGGCUAACUACGUG
RNAcentral lists this ribosomal RNA (497 nucleotides) under uncultured bacterium. RNAcentral's name for it is "partial 16S ribosomal RNA". It matches the Rfam family "Bacterial small subunit ribosomal RNA", at positions 28 to 507 of the family's 1533-position model. The record is from RNAcentral.